CUUCAUAGAUUUAUAUGACAUAAAACAAAACACAUGUUUUUUCUUAUCAUAUAAACCGAAUUCCUUUUCUUCAUCAAAACCCUCACUUUGCCACCGUCCUCUCUCACUCCUCUUCUUUGAUGAGGUAGGCAGGGAGAUGGAUCAGAUCCGUAGGUGCUUUAUUAGCGGAUUCUCAGGAGCACUCCACUUAUUUUGGAGCUGCAGUCUAUUGGUAUUGGUCUUCAUGGUCACUUGUAUUCUAUGUAGAGGCUCGUAGAAAUGUGUGUACAGUUAGACGUUUCAUAACCCUACCGGUUCAUAUUGUUGUAUUAUAUUUUAGUAGCCUUGUCGGCUGGUGACGAUGGGCAUACUUAUUGAAGGUUUUAUAGAGAUAUGCCGUUAUGUUGUGAUAUAUGUCCGUACAGAUUAUGAUAUCCAUGAGAUAUCUUUAUGGUCCACCCAGAAAAGUUUAUGA
This is a long non-coding RNA of Lycium barbarum (goji berry), 454 nucleotides long. RefSeq lists it as uncharacterized. The transcript has 2 exons. Lineage: Eukaryota; Viridiplantae; Streptophyta; Magnoliopsida; Solanales; Solanaceae. The record is from RefSeq and is a predicted model, not a curated record.